AGGCCAGUAGCUCAAUUUGGUAGAGCAGCGGUCUCCAAAACCGCAGGUUGGGGGUUCGAUUCCCUCCUGGCCUGCCA
RNAcentral lists this transfer RNA (77 nucleotides) under Pseudomonadales bacterium. RNAcentral's name for it is "tRNA-Trp". It matches the Rfam family "tRNA". From Rfam's summary of the family: Transfer RNA (tRNA) molecules are approximately 80 nucleotides in length. Their secondary structure includes four short double-helical elements and three loops (D, anti-codon, and T loops). Lineage: Bacteria; Pseudomonadati; Pseudomonadota; Gammaproteobacteria; Pseudomonadales. RNAcentral also lists the same sequence under 3 other names. The record is from RNAcentral.